RNAcentral lists this ribosomal RNA (301 nucleotides) under uncultured bacterium. RNAcentral's name for it is "partial 16S ribosomal RNA". It matches the Rfam family "Bacterial small subunit ribosomal RNA", at positions 509 to 809 of the family's 1533-position model. The record is from RNAcentral.
CAGUCGCCACGGUAAUACGGAGGGUGCAAGCGUUAAUCGGAAUUACUGGGCGUAAAGCGCACGCAGGCGGUUUGUUAAGUCAGAUGUGAAAUCCCCGAGCUUAACUUGGGAACUGCAUUUGAAACUGGCAAGCUAGAGUCUUGUAGAGGGGGGUAGAAUUCCAGGUGUAGCGGUGAAAUGCGUAGAGAUCUGGAGGAAUACCGGUGGCGAAGGCGGCCCCCUGGACAAAGACUGACGCUCAGGUGCGAAAGCGUGGGGAGCAAACAGGAUUAGAUACCCCGGUAGUCCCUGUCUCUUAUAA